CUGCCAGCGUGGAAAACCGGCCACGUGCAGGUCUGGGGCUGGGCACACACAGGGUCACACCCAGGAAGGGAUAAGCUAUGCAUUUCUAUUGAUAGAGUGGGCAGGGACCACAGGAAUUUAGAAAAUAUUAGGGCCAAGUUUACUGGGGAAAAUGUACAGGCCAGCAGAUAGCAUGGAAAAGUCCCCUCCCUGAGGAAGGGAAGCAUCUCAGAGGAGGUAAGAGACUGCUCCCAGGGCUGUGGUUAGAGCCUCCCCAACCGCAGCACGAUGCCCUUUGUCCCAUCUUCAGCAGGAGGGGCUGCUCUCCAUGGAGAUGAGGCUGACAGGGUCAGCGGAGUAGCCUGUGACAGGCAGGUUUUAAUAAGUUCAUUUUCAGCCAACCCCUGAAAUGGGUUAUUUUUGUUCCAUGGGAAUGCUCUACAUCUUCUGAAAGAUGGCACCUGGGACCCAGCCCAUGGCCUUCCUGGGGUAGGAUGUGCUGGAGAAGGAUUCUGUGGACCUGACAGAGAAGACAGAAGCCAGAGAGUAGACACCCGGAAAGAAAGAGGGAAAAGUGUGGUGGGAAGGACAGAGGGGACCCGAAGUUCCCCACGCCAGGGAAAUGACAGGGGGUUGCCAGUCUGUUUCUGAUGGUUGAGCAGUCAGGGGCCCAGAGACGCAGGAAACCCAAAAUCCUUGGUCCACCACGGGGCUGUCCUCAGGGUCUGGAGAGCAGGCCCCAUACUCCAGGCCCCCAUCCUCCAGGCCCUCGUCCCCCAGGCUCCAUCCUCCAGGCCCCCAUUCUCCAGGGCUCCAUCCUCUAGGCCCCUGUCCUCCAGGCCCCCAUCCUCUAGGCCCUCAUCCUCCAGGCUCCAUCCUCCAGGCUCCAUCCUCCAGGUUUCAUCCUUCAGGCCAUCAUCCUCCAGGCCCCCGUCCUCCAGGCCCCCAUCCUCCAGGCCCCAUCCUCCAGGCCCCCAUCUUUCAGGCCCCUGUCCUCCAGGCUCUUGUCCUCCAGGCCCUCAUCCUCCAGGCCCCUGCUCCUCCAGACCCUCAUCCUCCAGACCCUCAUCCUCCAGGCCCCCAUCUUUCAGGCCCCUGUCCUCCAGGCCCUCUUCCUCCAGACCCUCGUCCUCCAGGCCCCUGUUCCUCCAGACCCUCGUCCUCCAGACCCUCAUUCUCCAGGCCCCCGUCCUCCAGGCUCCAUCCUCCAGGGCUCCUCUGGGUCCGGGUCAAGUACCUCCAGGCUCUCUGCUGACUGUUCACCACUGGGCAACCACAGGGACUCGAUCCAUGAAAACUCUGGCAAGCCCCUUCAGGAUUCCUGCUGCGACCACCUGACCCAUGCAAAAGAGACCACUUCUCAGCCUCUCUCACUCUCCUGGCCCUGGCGGAAGCCUGUGUUGUCAUAGGCAUGCUUCCCUGGAAUCCUGCUCAGGCCCCCACGCAGGGACACUGAGUGCCCACAGAGUUGGGAAACCAUUACACGAGAUGGGACGUCUGCAAUAGAGUGGCAUCGCUAGUUGAAAGUGGAGCUGUUCACAACCUCCACAACUGUACUUGGUGGCCACGUCCCCAUCACAUGGGCUCAGACUGGGGGCUGGACAUUGACUUUGAGCCCCAAGUCUUCACCCUCAUGCAAAAACCAUCCUCCUUGGAGAUGCAGGCUGGGAAGGGCGCCAUGUCCGGAGUCCCUGCCCUGCUGUCAUCUGCCGACCUUUGUGCAGCCUGUCCCUUUCGUUAAGAAUUUCAGCACUGAGUUCACUGUGUUCCUUGUCAUGCUAAGACUUGGCCACAUCCCAGCCAUCUUCAACAUGGCGGUCGAUGUUUCAUCAAAAUUCACAGUCGCUCAGAUUUUAUUUUUCCUCAUCUCUAGGAACUUCCAUCUCCACUCCACUUCUGCCACUUCUGCCACCCUCCCAUGACCACACUCAGAACUUGAGCUCCACCUCUGAAAGAGGCAGAAUUGCCUUAUCUCACACAGUGGUGACAGCACUCUGUAAUAAUCUGCAUGGGCCAGGGCUCCUUGGUUGCAGGUAACAGAUACCACUGUUACGGCCCAACUCUGUUCUUCUAUGUUGAAGCCGGAACCCCCAGCGCCUCAGAAUGGGAUCACAUCUGGAGAAGGCGCCUUUAAAGAGAGUGCAAGUUAGGUAAGAAAGAACGGAUGGUGGACAGCCAGGAAACAGUCAGCUACGAGAUGUUGUGUGGAAAGCCCACCUUUCUGACACUGGAGAACUGUGGGAAGAACGGACAGGCCACACACCAGCUGGGCUCUGAGAACCCCCAGCUUCUGCUCCACAGUGAGCCAGCAGGAAUCCAAAGGGCAUGGGCAGACCCCAGGGGCUCCUUCACCCCACCCAGGGGUAGAGAGGGCAAGACGGAGUAGAGCGAGCAGACAGAGAGUGUAAGAUCAGACAUACCAUAGAUGGAAAAGAAAAGCUAAAACUUCCUUGCACAUCUGAGAGGUAAGAGGAGGUGUCUGUGGCCCCCCUGACACAUACGUGACAUAUGUAUUAUUACGGCUCAUGUGUGUGCUGCUGUGUGCAGGGGGCAGGGGGCUUCCCGUUCCUGAUGGUUCUUCUUGGUGGGUGUCUCCCGGCCUCUCAGGCCUCUUUAUCUGCUGAACGUGGUAGCCAAGGGUUUGGGAAUGAUUUGCCAGACUGGUUAAUGUGGAAAGAGCUGGCCCCGCUCAGUUCUGCACCUCCCUCUUCCUCCCUGGAACCGUCUGGCUGCAGAGAGCAGGAGCUUUCCAGAGCUCCCGGGGGAUCCCAUCUCCAGUAUAACUGUGCAACGUGUGCCCAGCACAAGAGCACCAGAUGGAGGGACAGGUGGGAGGAGGAGGAACCCAGGGUGCAUUUAGCUUGGGGCUUGCUGAGCUGAGGUCCCCAGAGCAAGGA
This 2876-nucleotide long non-coding RNA is filed under the name Homo sapiens (human). RNAcentral describes it as "HSALNT0404377". The record is from RNAcentral. Lineage: Eukaryota; Metazoa; Chordata; Mammalia; Primates; Hominidae.